UACUGGUUGAUCCUGCCAGAGGUUNCUGCUAUCGGGGUCCGACUAAGCCAUGCGAGUUGAAUGUCCGAAAGGGCAUAGCGUACUGCUCAGUAACACGUGGNCAACCUGCCCUGAGGACUGGAAUAAUCCCGGGAAACUNGGNGUNAUUCCAGAUAUGUCAGAACACCUGGAAUNGGUUCUGGCAGAA
Molecule: ribosomal RNA, 187 nt
Filed under: uncultured methanogenic archaeon
Lineage: Archaea; Methanobacteriati; Methanobacteriota
Description: partial 16S ribosomal RNA
Rfam family: Archaeal small subunit ribosomal RNA
Source: RNAcentral